Molecule: non-coding RNA, 25 nt
Filed under: Rattus norvegicus (Norway rat)
Lineage: Eukaryota; Metazoa; Chordata; Mammalia; Rodentia; Muridae
Source: RNAcentral
UGAAUGCUCUUCUUGGGACAUUUGG